This 253-nucleotide ribosomal RNA is filed under the name uncultured bacterium. RNAcentral's name for it is "partial 16S ribosomal RNA". It matches the Rfam family "Bacterial small subunit ribosomal RNA", at positions 524 to 776 of the family's 1533-position model. The record is from RNAcentral.
AACGUAGGACGCAAGCGUUAUCCGGAGUUACUGGGCGUAAAGCGCGGGCAGGCGGCUCGCAAAGUCUGAUGUGAAAUCUCCUCGCUCAACGGGGAGAGGCCAUUGGAAACGGUCGAGCUGGAGGGCAGUAGAGGUAGGCGGAAUUCCGGGUGGAGUGGUGAAAUGCGUAGAGAUCCGGAGGAACACCAGAGGCGAAGGCGGCCUACUGGGCUGCACCUGACGCUGAGCCGCGAAAGCCAGGGGAGCGAACGGG